ACCACAACUAAACAAAACUCAACUGGUAAAUUAACCCAAAAAAUUGUCAGAAGCAGAAAAAGAAAACGUGAACAAUUUUUUGCUGAAACAGAACAAAAUCCCUGAAAUCACUACUUCCUAAUGUCCUGGACCUUGUACCAUCCCUUCUUGCAUGAAUCUCCAACAAUCUUCCCCCCUUCCUGGAAAAGGAUCUUCAAUUCCUUGGCCCUUUCCUUCACUUUAUGCUCAAAGCUCCCCAUUUCUUGAAAAACAAGAGC
RNAcentral lists this long non-coding RNA (257 nucleotides) under Coffea arabica (coffee). Its description in RNAcentral is "long non-coding RNA (CARA_LNC003101)". The record is from RNAcentral. Lineage: Eukaryota; Viridiplantae; Streptophyta; Magnoliopsida; Gentianales; Rubiaceae.